ACUAAAAAUUAUGAUUAUGAUACUUUAAAAUAAACUGUGGAAGUCCGGUGAAAAUCCGGCGCUGUCCCCGCAACUGUGAGCUGGACGAAAGCCAUCUAUGCCACUGCCUUUUAAAGGUGGGAAGGCUGGCAAGUAGGAUGAAGGUGAGCCAGGAUACACAGCCAAAAUAACACUACGGAG
Molecule: non-coding RNA, 180 nt
Filed under: Calditerrivibrio nitroreducens
Lineage: Bacteria; Pseudomonadati; Deferribacterota; Deferribacteres; Deferribacterales; Calditerrivibrionaceae
Also listed under: 1 other name
Source: RNAcentral